Molecule: long non-coding RNA, 628 nt
Filed under: Linum usitatissimum (flax)
Lineage: Eukaryota; Viridiplantae; Streptophyta; Magnoliopsida; Malpighiales; Linaceae
Description: long non-coding RNA (LUSI_LNC008037)
Source: RNAcentral
CAUCCUUUCUGAUUACAGUAUGAACUCUAAGAACACACCUUAUCCACAGCUUGUCCUUUGCCAACUGAUCUUUCUACUUCUGAUAUUAUUUGGUUUCGAAUUUCAGUCAGCAUACUCAUGUCGGGAGCUUUUCGAGCCUCUCCCCAGUAACGCAUCAGGUGAUCAGCUUUCCAUUAAUAUUGAUUAGAACCGCCCCACCUUCGUGAAUUGAAUUCUCUGAAAAGUCUGUUUGGCUAUUGUUCAUUUGUAUUUCGUAUUUUUUAUAAUAAUUUACAUACGUUUCCAAGGAAUCAUGAUCCAUGAUUGUGGUUAACGCAGGACUAGGCAAGCAUAAUCCGGGCGGUAGAGUUUGCCGGAGCAUAUCACCGCCGGGAGGCCAUGGAUAAAUGAUCGAUCGGCAGAUAUGGCCGGAGAGUAUAUUUUCCUCUUCGCUGGUGGAUAUUAUAUAUAUUAGGCAAACAAAUUAAGGUCUAUUUGACUGUUGGAAUUUAUUAAAAUGGUAUGUAUUAGUAAUUUUUGUGUUUCCAUAUAUGUGAUUGGAAGAGUGGUUAUUUUUUAUAGAAAGAGAAGAUUUAAGAUUCUAGUUAUUAAUAGUAAUGGUUAGUGGGAACCAAAACCUCAAUUAUCU